AUUGAACGCUGGCGGCAUGCCUUACACAUGCAAGUCGAACGGCAGCACGGGUGCUUGCACCUGGUGGCGAGUGGCGAACGGGUGAGUAAUACAUCGGAACAUGUCCUGUAGUGGGGGAUAGCCCGGCGAAAGCCGGAUUAAUACCGCAUACGAACUACGGAUGAAAGCGGGGGACCUUCGGGCCUCGCGCUAUAGGGUUGGCCGAUGGCUGAUUAGCUAGUUGGUGGGGUAAAGGCCUACCAAGGCGACGAUCAGUAGCUGGUCUGAGAGGGCGACCAGCCACACUGGGACUGAGACACGGCCCAGACUCCUACGGGAGGCAGCAGUGGGGAAUUUUGGACAAUGGGCGAAAGCCUGAUCCAGCAAUGCCGCGUGUGUGAAGAAGGCCUUCGGGUUGUAAAGCACUUAUGUCCGGAAAGAAAUCCUUGGCCCUAAUACGGUCGGGGGAUGACGGUACCGGAAGAAUAAGCACCGGCUAACUACGUG
Molecule: ribosomal RNA, 486 nt
Filed under: uncultured bacterium
Lineage: Bacteria
Description: partial 16S ribosomal RNA
Rfam family: Bacterial small subunit ribosomal RNA
Source: RNAcentral